RNAcentral lists this ribosomal RNA (253 nucleotides) under uncultured bacterium. RNAcentral's name for it is "partial 16S ribosomal RNA". It matches the Rfam family "Bacterial small subunit ribosomal RNA", at positions 524 to 776 of the family's 1533-position model. The record is from RNAcentral.
UACGUAGGGGGCUAGCGUUGCUCGGAAUGACUGGGCGUAAAGGGCGCGUAGGCGGUUUGGACAGUCAGGUGUGAAAUUCCCGGGCUCAACCUGGGGGCUGCACUUGAUACGUAGGAACUGGAGUGGGGAAGAGGGUCGUGGAAUUCCCAGUGUAGAGGUGAAAUUCGUAGAUAUUGGGAAGAACACCGGUGGCGAAGGCGGCGACCUGGUCCUUGACUGACGCUGAGGCGCGAAAGCGUGGGGAGCAAACAGG